AUCCCAUGAUGAGGACAGGUGGCGACGUACUCCUGCAGACACUCCCAAGCUUCUGGUAUGGAUUCCUCCUUCAUCUGCUAGAAAUUGGAAAUUCACCCAUGAAGGGC
This 107-nucleotide small nucleolar RNA is filed under the name Leersia perrieri. RNAcentral describes it as "Plant small nucleolar RNA R71". It matches the Rfam family "Plant small nucleolar RNA R71". Rfam says of the family: R71 is a member of the C/D box family of snoRNAs containing the C (UGAUGA) and D (CUGA) box motifs. Multiple nearly identical copies of this snoRNA have been identified in Arabidopsis, and it is thought to function as a 2'-O-ribose methylation guide for 18S ribosomal RNA. Lineage: Eukaryota; Viridiplantae; Streptophyta; Magnoliopsida; Poales; Poaceae. The record is from Rfam by way of RNAcentral.